UGGAUUGUGGCUCAGCGAUAGAGCACUCGCUUAGCAUGUGUGAGGCCCUGGGUUCAAUCCUCAGCACCACAU
Molecule: transfer RNA, 72 nt
Filed under: Ictidomys tridecemlineatus (thirteen-lined ground squirrel)
Lineage: Eukaryota; Metazoa; Chordata; Mammalia; Rodentia; Sciuridae
Description: Spermophilus tridecemlineatus (thirteen-lined ground squirrel) tRNA
Rfam family: tRNA
About the family: Transfer RNA (tRNA) molecules are approximately 80 nucleotides in length. Their secondary structure includes four short double-helical elements and three loops (D, anti-codon, and T loops).
Source: Rfam by way of RNAcentral